Long non-coding RNA from Ahaetulla prasina, 834 nucleotides. RefSeq lists it as uncharacterized. The transcript is spliced from 3 exons. NCBI's taxonomy places the organism in Eukaryota, Metazoa, Chordata, Lepidosauria, Squamata, Colubridae. The record is from RefSeq and is a predicted model, not a curated record.
AAAAGAUCCCAUCCGUGGGAGGAGAGAACUAGCCAAUCGUUUCUCCGUUAUGUUUCUCUUGUGCGAUUGACAACUCCCGGGGUGCUGUCACUUGACCCAGGACAGUGGGACCGUCCCAGGAAGCAUUUUAAACUGCAAAGAUGUUCCUGGCCAUGCUGAACUGCCAGUUACAAGAGUAGUCUACCUCUGCCCAGCAGAUUCUGAGGACCUAGCAGAUUCUGAGGACGGGCAACAAGGGAGGACCAACAUUUCCGUCGCUAAGUGAGGCAUUUGUUAGGGGGCUACCUAAUCCUAUCAGAAGAAACCAACGUGAAAAAGAAAAAUAAAUUCUUUAAUAAUUUCUUAUUUAAAAAAAACAUAUAUCAAAACACUUCGUCCUUGAUGGUUGCAGCAUCACAUGACUUUGUGAUCUUCCAAGAUGGCUUCCAACCAAGAAAGUCAGCGCGAGAAUCCAGAUUCACUUAACAGUUGUGUGACUCACUUAAAAACGGCAAUGAUACGCUGAAGGCCUGGGACAAAAAUCACUUUUAACAACUGUUUUGCUAACCAACUGGUCCCCGUUUUGGCCCUGAGUUGAGGAAUAGUUGUAGUUACUCAAGAUUAUUGAGGGGUCUCUGUGGCUCAGACUGCUAAUGCAGUCUGUUAUUAACAGCAGCUGCCUGCAAUUACUGCAGGUUCUAGUCCCACCAGGCCCAAGCUUGACUCAACCUUCCAUCCUUUAUAAGGUAGGUAAAAUGAGGACCCAGGUUGUUGGGGGCAAUAAGUUGACUUUGUAUAUAAAUAUACAAAUAGGAUGAAGACUAUUGCUAACAUAGUGUAAGCCGCCCUGAGUCU